RNAcentral lists this ribosomal RNA (637 nucleotides) under uncultured bacterium. Its description in RNAcentral is "bacterial SSU rRNA". The stretch from base 1 to 544 matches the Rfam family "Bacterial small subunit ribosomal RNA", at positions 338 to 873 of the family's 1533-position model. The record is from RNAcentral.
CCUACGGGAGGCAGCAGUGGGGAAUUUUGGACAAUGGGGGCAACCCUGAUCCAGCCAUUCCGCGUGAGUGAAGAAGGCCUUCGGGUUGUAAAGCUCUUUCGCAAGGGAAGAAAACUUAUGAUCGAAUAAAUCAUGAGGUUGACGGUACCUUGAUAAGAAGCACCGGCUAACUACGUGCCAGCAGCCGCGGUAAUACGUAGGGUGCGAGCGUUAAUCGGAAUUACUGGGCGUAAAGCGUGCGCAGGCGGUUUUGUAAGUCGGAUGUGAAAUCCCCGGGCUCAACCUGGGAACUGCGUUCGAAACUGCAAGGCUAGAGUGUGUCAGAGGGGGGUAGAAUUCCACGUGUAGCAGUGAAAUGCGUAGAGAUGUGGAGGAAUACCAAUGGCGAAGGCAGCCCCCUGGGAUAACACUGACGCUCAUGCACGAAAGCGUGGGGAGCAAACAGGAUUAGAUACCCUGGUAGUCCACGCCCUAAACGAUGUCAACUAGUUGUUGGUAGAGUAAAAUCUAUGAGUAACGUAGCUAACGCGUGAAGUUGACCGCCUGGGGGAGGUACGGUCGCGAAGUAAGUUAAACGUUAAAGUUAAAGUUAGUUACGGUUCGUGAGAGUUGCGACGGACGACGACGAGGGAGGAGG